GACGAACGCUGGCGGCGUGCUUAACACAUGCAAGUCGAACGGAAAGGCCCUGCUUUUGUGGGGUGCUCGAGUGGCGAACGGGUGAGUAACACGUGAGUAACCUGCCCUUGACUUUGGGAUAACUUCAGGAAACUGGGGCUAAUACCGGAUAGGAGCUCCUGCUGCAUGGUGGGGGUUGGAAAGUUUCGGCGGUUGGGGAUGGACUCGCGGCUUAUCAGCUUGUUGGUGGGGUAGUGGCUUACCAAGGCUUUGACGGGUAGCCGGCCUGAGAGGGUGACCGGCCACAUUAGGAAUGGGAUACGGCCCAGACUCCUACGGGAGGCAGCAGUGGGGAAUAUUGCAGAAUGGGCGGAAGCCGGAUGCAGCAACGCCGCGUGCGGGAUGACGGCCUUCGGGUUGUAAACCGCUUUCGCCUGUGACGAAGCGUGAGUGACGGUAAUGGGUAAAGAAGCACCGGCUAACUACGUG
RNAcentral lists this ribosomal RNA (468 nucleotides) under uncultured bacterium. RNAcentral describes it as "partial 16S ribosomal RNA". It matches the Rfam family "Bacterial small subunit ribosomal RNA", at positions 28 to 507 of the family's 1533-position model. The record is from RNAcentral.